Sorex araneus (European shrew) is the source of this 165-nucleotide small nuclear RNA. RefSeq annotates it as U1 spliceosomal RNA. The transcript has a single exon. The record is from RefSeq and is a predicted model, not a curated record. NCBI's taxonomy places the organism in Eukaryota, Metazoa, Chordata, Mammalia, Eulipotyphla, Soricidae.
AAAAUUACUUUGCAGGGGAGACACCAUGAUCACAAAGGUGGUUUUCCCAGGCUAAGGCUUAUCCAUUGCACUCUCGCUGUGCUGAUUCCUGCAAUUUUCCCAAACGUGGGAAACCCGACCAACAUAAUUUUUGGUAGUGGGGGACUGCAUUCACUCUCUACCCUG